Molecule: ribosomal RNA, 337 nt
Filed under: uncultured Nodosilinea sp.
Lineage: Bacteria; Bacillati; Cyanobacteriota; Cyanophyceae; Nodosilineales; Nodosilineaceae
Description: bacterial SSU rRNA
Rfam family: Bacterial small subunit ribosomal RNA
Source: RNAcentral
AAACCUCUUUUCUCUGGGAAGAAGAUCUGACGGUACCUGAGGAAUAAGCCUCGGCUAACUCCGUGCCAGCAGCCGCGGUAAUACGGAAGUGGCAAGCGUUAUCCGGAAUUAUUGGGCGUAAAGCGUCCGCAGGCGGUUUUUUAAGUCUGCUGUCAAAGACUACAGCUUAACUGUGGUAGGGCAAUGGAAACUGAUGAGCUUGAGUGUGGUAGGGGUAGAGGGAAUUCCCGGUGUAGCGGUGAAAUGCGUAGAUAUCGGGAAGAACACCAGUGGCGAAGGCGCUCUACUGGGCCGUUACUGACGCUCAUGGACGAAAGCUAGGGGAGCGAAAGGGAUU